This 462-nucleotide ribosomal RNA is filed under the name uncultured bacterium. RNAcentral's name for it is "partial 16S ribosomal RNA". It matches the Rfam family "Bacterial small subunit ribosomal RNA", at positions 338 to 795 of the family's 1533-position model. The record is from RNAcentral.
CCUACGGGUGGCAGCAGUGAGGAAUAUUGGUCAAUGGACGCAAGUCUGAACCAGCCAAGUAGCGUGCAGGAUGACGGCCCUCCGGGUUGUAAACUGCUUUUAGUUGGGAAUAAAAGGGGGCUCGUGAGCCCCGUAUUGUAUGUACCAUCAGAAAAAGGACCGGCUAAUUCCGUGCCAGCAGCCGCGGUAAUACGGAGGGUGCAAGCGUUGUCCGGAAUCAUUGGGCGUAAAGAGUUCGUAGGUGGCAUAUUAAGUCUGGUGUUAAAUGCAGAAGCUCAACUUCUGUUCGGCACUGGAUACUGGUAAGCUUGAAUGCGGUAGAGGUAAAGGGAAUUCCUGGUGUAGCGGUGAAAUGCGUAGAUAUCAGGAGGAACAUCGGUGGCGUAAGCGCUUUACUGGGCCGUAAUUGACACUGAGGAACGAAAGCCGGGGUAGCAAAUGGGAUUAGAUACCCGAGUAGUC